This 492-nucleotide ribosomal RNA is filed under the name uncultured bacterium. RNAcentral describes it as "partial 16S ribosomal RNA". It matches the Rfam family "Bacterial small subunit ribosomal RNA", at positions 29 to 507 of the family's 1533-position model. The record is from RNAcentral.
AGUGAACGCUGGCGGUAGGCCUAACACAUGCAAGUCGAACGGCAGCACAGUAAGAGCUUGCUCUUACGGGUGGCGAGUGGCGGACGGGUGAGGAAUACAUCGGAAUCUACUUUUUCGUGGGGGAUAACGUAGUGAAACUUACGCUAAUACCGCAUACGACCUACGGGUGAAAGCAGGGGAUCUUCGGACCUUGCGCGAUUGAAUGAGCCGAUGUCGGAUUAGCUGGUUGGCGGGGUAAAGGCCCACCAAGGCGACGAUCCGUAGCUGGUCUGAGAGGAUGAUCAGCCACACUGGAACUGAGACACGGUCCAGACUCCUACGGGAGGCAGCAGUGGGGAAUAUUGGACAAUGGGCGCAAGCCUGAUCCAGCCAUACCGCGUGGGUGAAGAAGGCCUUCGGGUUGUAAAGCCCUUUUGUUGGGAAAGAAAAGCAGCAGGUUAAUACCCCGCUGUUCUGACGGUACCCAAAGAAUAAGCACCGGCUAACUUCGUG